GCACAUGCGCGGCAGCUCCCGCUGCUGAAUAGCUGAGAGGCGCACCCGGGCGGCCAGCUGGGCUCGGAGUGCAGCGGGGUUAGGAUGGACGAGGACGUGUUGCACCCUGAAGAGCCUCAUCAUCGGUGAGAGUGGGGUGGGCAAGUCCAGCCUGCUCUUGAGGUUCACAGAUGAUACCUUUGAUCCAGAACUUGCAGCAACAAUAGGUACCAACCUUCGCCUUUUCUAUGACGUUUGCAAACUCUCCUACCCACAGGAAGCAGCAGUGGGGAGAGAGCAGGAGGAAGCAGUCCCCACUGUUGAGCGCCGAAGCUCGAGGUUCCACCAGCCUGGUCUGCACAUGUCUUCUUCCUGAACACGAGGCAGACAGUCACCGUCUUUCCAGACAGAACGGGGAUAGGACGCACCCCAUAUCGGAAGCAUCCCUGCUGCGGACGCUUUCACUUCUAAAGAGUCUUGUCUGCUAAUAAGAGUGCCCAUGGCCCAGGGUGGCAGCAGGGGGAUUUAGAAAGGGCAUGAUGAUGGCACUAGCGGCUGCUUUCCUGGUUUGUGCUUUCCCAAAUGUCACCCACUUCUCAGGACCAUUAUCAGUGUCAUGUGCGUGGGUUAAUGAAGGCUCCCCCUUCCAGGGAGAUGAGCACACAGGCUCCUUUUCCCUCCUUCACUCUUCUCCCGGGGCCUUUCUCUCCCCUGGCCACCUCCUGCACCCAAUUACAUCUGUGGCCCAGGCAAGGGAAGCCACGCCUUCAGGAAGGGUCGGCUCUUCCCCUGGGGAGUUUCCACUAUGAACCCUAGGGGCCUCUCAACAGGAAGGAUGGAGGCGCCACCUUCUGUGGCUUUCAACACCUUUUCCUAAAUAUUUGUUGAUUUUGAGCUUUCCACAAUUAAACAGAUCAUGUAGUCUCUGGGUUAGGACUCAGGACAGAGAUUGGUUA
Molecule: long non-coding RNA, 935 nt
Organism: Homo sapiens (human)
Lineage: Eukaryota; Metazoa; Chordata; Mammalia; Primates; Hominidae
Gene: SVIL-AS1
Product: SVIL antisense RNA 1
Source: Ensembl